This 348-nucleotide long non-coding RNA is filed under the name Mus pahari (shrew mouse). RNAcentral describes it as "lncRNA (MGP_PahariEiJ_G0005312.1)". Lineage: Eukaryota; Metazoa; Chordata; Mammalia; Rodentia; Muridae. The record is from RNAcentral.
UUCGACCUUCAACGUGGCCGGUUUCCUCUCAGGUUCCUGGAAGGAGAGAUGGAGGGAGGUGAAACCUGAGAAAGGAAUACAGGGAGGGAGGCCGGCUCAACCUCGGGGACUCUUUCUUCCGGCCUUCUUCUGAGGCUUCUCAUCUUCCUCACACUGGAACAAGAAAUCUUCAAGAACGAAUUCCAUCCUGUGUAAUAUCGGUGACCCUGGCUGAGCUUUGGCAGAUCCUAGAGACCCCUACAGGACCACUGUCCUCAAGAGCCCCAAAGCCCAGAUGUCAUCUUUGAAAUAAAACUGCCUGGAGAUGGCAUUGUGAACUUCCAGCCCAUUCCUCACACCACUGGAGUU